UACGUAUGGUGCAAGCGUCAUCCGGAUUUACUGGGUGUAAAGGGAGCGCAGGCGGCACGGCAAGCCUGAUGUGAAAGCCCGCGGCCCAACCGCGGGACUGCAUUGGGAACUACCGGGCUGGAGUGCCGGAGAGGUAGGCGGAAUUCCUAGUGUAGCGGUGAAAUGCGUAGAUAUUAGGAGGAACACCAGUGGCGAAGGCGGCCUACUGGACGGUGACUGACGCUGAGGCUCGAAAGCGUGGGGAGCAAACAGG
This 253-nucleotide ribosomal RNA is filed under the name uncultured bacterium. RNAcentral describes it as "partial 16S ribosomal RNA". It matches the Rfam family "Bacterial small subunit ribosomal RNA", at positions 524 to 776 of the family's 1533-position model. The record is from RNAcentral.